AGGGCCAUGGUGAACCUUUCGAGGAUGAGGAUGUGGGUGUGGUCACCCAAGAGGUUGCUGAUGAUAUGACCGUGGGGACGUACCAGGCUCGGUCUGCAUACGAGUUGAAGCCUAGGAAGGGAAUCAACAAGUACACACCUGAAGACUUCACCCAAAGAGGCCAAAGAGGCAAAAGGACGGUCGGCACCUCGCGGAUGGCGGCUUUGGAUGACUAUUUGGAUGACGAUGUAGAUUACGUGGAGGAACCGGAGCCGGAGCCGGAGCGGGUUCCUCUUCCUAGGAAGGUGAAGAAGAUAAGCGUCAAGAGGGGGGAGGAGCCAGCAAGCGCGGAAAGCACUAGUCAUCAUCCUUUAUUUAUAAUGUUGAACUUAGAGUGGUGGUAGCUCUUAGUAAUGUGGAAUUUGUUAUGUCGUUGAACUUGGAGUGGUGGUAGCUCUAUGUUAAACUUGAACUUAUUGUGAUGGUCCUUUCUAAGAAA
Molecule: non-coding RNA, 478 nt
Organism: Aegilops tauschii subsp. strangulata
Lineage: Eukaryota; Viridiplantae; Streptophyta; Magnoliopsida; Poales; Poaceae
Source: RefSeq, a predicted model, not a curated record